GGACGCUUAGCUCAGUUGGUAGAGCAGCUGACUCUUAAUCAGCGGGUCGUGGGUUCGAGCCCCUCAGCGUCUACCA
This 76-nucleotide transfer RNA is filed under the name Pontiella sp. Its description in RNAcentral is "tRNA-Lys". It matches the Rfam family "tRNA". From Rfam's summary of the family: Transfer RNA (tRNA) molecules are approximately 80 nucleotides in length. Their secondary structure includes four short double-helical elements and three loops (D, anti-codon, and T loops). Further hydrogen bonds mediate the characteristic L-shaped molecular structure. tRNAs have two regions of fundamental functional importance: the anti-codon, which is responsible for specific mRNA codon recognition, and the 3' end, to which the tRNAs corresponding amino acid is attached (by aminoacyl-tRNA synthetases). tRNAs cope with the degeneracy of the genetic code in two manners: having more than one tRNA (with a specific anti-codon) for a particular amino acid; and 'wobble' base-pairing, i.e. permitting non-standard base-pairing at the 3rd anti-codon position. Lineage: Bacteria; Pseudomonadati; Kiritimatiellota; Kiritimatiellia; Kiritimatiellales; Pontiellaceae. RNAcentral also lists the same sequence under 1 other name. The record is from RNAcentral.